UGGCCGAACGGGUGAGUAACACGUGGGUGAUCUGCCUUGCACUUCGGGAUAAGCCUGGGAAACUGGGUCUAAUACCGGAUAGGACCAUGCUUUAGUGUGUGUGGUGGAAAGUUUUUUCGGUGCAAGAUGAGCCCGCGGCCUAUCAGCUUGUUGAUGGGGUAAUGGCCUACCAAGGCGACGACGGGUAGCCGGCCUGAGAGGGUGUACGGCCACAUUGGGACUGAGACACGGCCCAGACUCCUACGGGAGGCAGCAGUGGGGAAUAUUGCACAAUGGGCGCAAGCCUGAUGCAGCGACGCCGCGUGGGGGAUGACGGCCUUCGGGUUGUAAACUCCUUUCGCUAGGGAAGAAGCCACUUGUGGUGACGGUACCUGGAUAAGAAGCACCGGCUAACUACGUGCCAGCAGCCGCGGUAAUACGUAGGGUGCGAGCGUUGUCCGGAAUUACUGGGCGUAAAGAGCUCGUAGGUGGUUUGUCGCGUCGUCUGUGAAAUCCCGGGGCUUAACUUCGGGCGUGCAGGCGAUACGGGCAUAACUAGAGUGCUGUAGGGGAGACUGGAAUUCCUGGUGUAGCGGUGAAAUGCGCAGAUAUCAGGAGGAACACCGAUGGCGAAGGCAGGUCUCUGGGCAGUUACUGACGCUGAGGAGCGAAAGGCAUGGGUAGCGAACAGGAUUAGAUACCCUGGUAGUCCAUGCCGUAAACGGUGGGCGCUAGGUGUGGGGGUUUUAUUUACGAUUCCCGUGCCGUAGCUAACGCAUUAAGCGCCCCGCCUGGGGAGUACGCCGCAAGGCUA
RNAcentral lists this ribosomal RNA (793 nucleotides) under uncultured Actinomycetes bacterium. RNAcentral's name for it is "bacterial SSU rRNA". It matches the Rfam family "Bacterial small subunit ribosomal RNA", at positions 95 to 896 of the family's 1533-position model. Lineage: Bacteria; Bacillati; Actinomycetota; Actinomycetes. The record is from RNAcentral.